GAAAUUACCACGACAGAUGACUGCAGGGAAGGCUAUACAGUAUGCCUCUCCCUCUCAGAUGCUUCCCUCCACCUAUUACAAAAGGAGCAGAACAUGUAGAUAACUUCCUUCUUCAGAGGUAUAAGAGGCCACAUCCUAUUCUGGGCUUCAUAAAGAGGAACCUUCAACAGCUCACAUACAGAGCUUCUGCCUCAAAGGACCACUCAUUGAAGCAGAAAUAAAAAAGGAAUAUAAAGACAGGGGAGUGAUCAGAAGACGAAUAGUGGGUCAGACUUUGUUUCAGGUUUGAUUGUAUAUUUACGUAUUUGUCUAAAUUGACAGGAUUGACUAUCAGAAACAGGGAAUAUAGGCCUAUAUGACAACUUAGCGAAGUAUUUUUAUUAUGUAAUUCUAUUGACACUAAAGGACUAGGGUGGGGAUUCAGUACAAGACUCGAGUGUAAAUUGCCUUUAAAUUACCUUUACUGUAAAUGAUCAACUCAACUACCUUGCUAUGCAAUUGGGAAAAUGCAAUGUUAAUAAAAUGUUAGUGUUAUUACAGCGGCAUAAGUGUUAACAGUAAUAUUAACAAAACUAAAUAUAAGACUAAGUAUCUACGGGAAUAUCUAAACACGGCCUUGUUGAAUCGACUACAGCCAAGGUACCAGUAGGUGGAAAAUAAUGUUAAUUUGUAUUUGAUGAAAAUAUCCCUUUAGUUGGUAUGAUGUGUAUGUUUGAAACUUAUUUGUAUUUGAGCUCAAGCAGUAGAAAAUGUUAAGUGCCGGUACUCAGCUCUGGUGAGCUCCUACACAAGUCAAGCACUGUGAAUUUUGACAGUGGAACUACAUUUUACAUUUUGGAUAUACAGUGCCUCUAGAAAGUCUACAACCCCCUUGGAUUUAUUCAAAUUUGAUUGCGUUACAAAGUGGGAUUAAAAUGGAUUUGAUUGCCAUUUUUUUGUCAAUGAGCCACACUAAAUAUUCUGUAAAGACAAAGUGGAAAAAUUCUAACAUUUUUUGAAGAUUCAUGAAAAUGUUAUAACUAAAAUAUAGUAGUUUCAUAAGAGGGGCUAGAUACAUAAAAUGCUUUUAUUUCUAAAUGGAAAAACAGAUACAGUGCAUUCAGAAAGUAUUCAGACCCCUUGACUUUUCCACAUUUUGUUACAUUACAUCCUUAUUCUAAAUUGAUAAAAAAAAAUUAUUUACUGUGUGUAGAUUGAUGAGGGAAAAAACCCAUUUAAUCCAUUUUAGAAUAAUACCCCAUAAUGACAAAGCAAAAACAGUUGUUUUUUUGUGUGCAAAUGUAUUAAAAAUAAAUAACGGAAAUAUCACAUUUACAUAUGUACUCAGACCGUUUACUCAGUACUUUGUUAAACUACCGCCUCAAGUCUUCUUGAGUAUGACGCUACAAGCUUGGCACACCUGUAUUUGGGGAGUUUCUCCCAUUCAUCUCUACAGAUCCUCUCAAGUUCCGUCGGGUGUUUUCUUGCGAACAUAUCCGAAAAGGAAGAUGGGUCUCUAAUGAAAUAUUCAACAUGGUGGAGGAAUGUUGGUGACCUGCAACACAACACAAGUCCCACAGGGAAACUACUGGGGUAGAUUGCUGAGAACAUCAACAGAUAUGUAUUUUUAGAUAGGCCUAAUCUCAUCUCCGUCUUUAGAGGCAUUAGGAAAAACCUUCAUCUGAAUCAUUUUGUUGCACUAAGAAACAAGGAAAUAGUGAAUGCGUUGAUCGAUAUCUUCAUCAAAUGUGGUAUGCUAUUCUAAGCUCUAGUAUAUUCUCUAUCAACAUUCAAGUAUCAAUGAAGCAUGGAUGGAUUUAUAAAAUGUCAAUAGCCAGUAAUGAAAUGAGAAUCCAUUCUCGGUAACAGGACAGUGCAAAAAAAUAUGACUAUUUACAAUUAUUUAGCAAAUUAAGAAGAAGAUUUAUGAAAUGGAGAUGUAUUGCACAUAUCAUUUGAUUUGAAAUAGAUCCUUUCCUCCUCUGAGUCUUGUGCUUUCAUACAGUAGGUCUGUCUGAGACAUCAUGGAGGGUAACAACAGAAAACAGAGAGAAAGAUUAGAAGAAAGAUCCCCAGAGACGUCUCCUAUGACGGUUCCGGUAACCCAGCCACGCUCCUCAAUGUUCUCCUGCUGUUUGGGGAUGGCAUCUGAUGAACCUGUAGGCGACCCAGCUAGUAAUGUAACACAAGGCUCUAUUAUGAAGCAGCCCACCAGACAGUCUUAUGUCAACAACCCAGACACCAGCGGACGCAUAAUACGAUUGGAGAAUACUGAGCUGCAAAUGUUUCCCACUGGUGCCAUGAGGUCGAACAACACCCCACAACCAGGGCAACCAGAGCCUUCUAAUAAGAUGAAGAAUAAAAGAGGGGACCAAGAUGGAAGGAAGGAGCUCAACCAGGGGUCCAGUCAGAAGCAGAACCAGGAUCAAAAGAUCAAGUUUCUGAUCAAUGUGCCCAUGAGGGUCCCACUACUUAACAACAACCGACUGGACCAAAUCCAGUCACAGGUUCAAAGGUUACUGAAGUUGUUGGAGGAUACAGGAUUUAAGGAGGAAGAUGAGGAGCACCUGAAAGAUGUGGCCAUCAUCAUUGGCCUCAAUGGCAAAGAUUCUCCUGAGCUCAGGGGACAGCUGACAAUGCUGAUGAACAUGGAGGAGAAUACGGUAUUGAAGUUUAAAAAGAUUUCAUUUACCUGGGGACCCAAUGGUAACAUUAAAUAUGUAGACAGUAUAAAUAAAAUAAAAGGUAUACCAUAUACGGAUAUCAGAGAAUAUCUAAAAGAUCAUGAAGAAACUAAACAGCUUGUUAGAGAGUUGAGAGGAGAGGAUCCUGACGCUCUGAUCUAUUUCAGUUUUAUUGACGCUGAUACUGUAAACUUUAACCAAGUUUACAGCUCUUAUUUAGAGAUAGUCAGAAAGCACUCUAACACUCACUCUGGCAUCCCCCCAACGGUGAUGUCAACAGGCUAUGAGUUUCCGGACAGGGCUUUUAAGAGGCCAAGCCAGGUUGACAGAGCAAUUCGAGUUGAGACAGCAAAACACUUUCCUCUAGGCACAUACUAUCCAGAGCCCAACUUCUGUGUUUUACUCCUAAAGGGGGAGGACACACUAACAGAGAGCUUUCUUGGAAAAGACAAAACAAUGGAGUCGCCAAAAAUUAUCAAAAAAGUUAAGGAGCGUGAACAAUUCACAGCAGUCUUUACCGCUGACAAUCCCAUAAUUACCUCUGUUCCAGCAAGGUGUCAAAUAAAUAAGGAUGGCCUGACAACUGCUCAAUCACAUUUUAAUCCUAGAGUUUGGGCAACAAGUGCAUACAUCCAUGGUGAGAUAAAGAGUGAACUAAAGGGCCAAGGAAGUUUUGGUAAAACAAGACGAUUAUUGAUGGAACUGUUGACUUGUCCAGAUGAGAAAUUUGAGGACAAGUGUAAAGAACUUCCUGUGGUAAAUGAUGAUGCAUUUCUGAGCCUGUGUAAGGCAGCUGGUGAGGUCCGAGAAUACAGAAAGAAAGUGAGGGGGUAUGCGAACCAACAGGAUAAGAGGAGUCCGGCAGAGAGCAGAGCAAAACAACCAGAGAUGUAACGCAUACCAAUUCAUGGCACUUCUAAAGCCUAGACUUAUGUUGACAUAAAAAUCUGUAGCCUUACUUUUGUUACGACUUUUAUUUUGCCGUAAUGUAUUGAGACACUGUUUGUAGCCUGGGGACUUUUAUUUUGAAAGCGAUAAUAUUCCCAGAGGCACCUUUGAGAGAGUGUGGAGAAAAAGACACAGAGUGGAUGUUGAUGACUGCGUGGCUGUAUGUCUUGGUCCAGAGUAAUUCAACUACACGUAACAGUUUUCCUUUGUAGCCCGUGUGUUAUUUUUACUGCCAAUCCACAAGUCCUCUGUUGGAGGUAGUGUUUAAUACCUAAAAGUAGAAAUAAGAGUUAUUCCACAAGUCCUCUGUUGGAGGUAGUGUUUAAUACCUACAAGUAGAAGUAAGAGUUAUUCCACAAGUCCUCUGUUGGAGGUAGUGUUUAAUACCUACAAGUAGAAGUAAGAGUUAUUCCACAAGUCCUCUGUUGGAGGUAGUGUUUAAUACCUACAAGUUAAAAUAAGAGUUAUACAAAUCUAUCCAAUCCACAAGUCCUCUGUUGGAGGUAGUGUUUAAUACCUACAAGUUAAAAUAAGAGUUAUACAAAUCUAUCCAAUCCACAAGUCCUCUGUUGGAGGUAAUGUUUAAUACCUACAAGUAGAAAUAAGAGUUAUACAAAUCUAUCCAAUCCAGAAUAAGAAUGUCAUUUCCAAACAAGACAUAAACUCAAAUGUUGCUAAAUGACCUGGAUGAAUCUCUAGUCGUACACAACUAUGGGUGUAACCAUUUGUGCCAGAAUACUCACCAGACAUCAGCUUUAAUGGUGUAGAGGUGAGGAGUGAAAUACAGUAUAAAACAAUUAGGAAUUGACGGGUAUAAUAAGUUAUUCAUGAAACAAAGGUUAAAUCACUUACAGUUACAAUAAGUGCCAUGGAAGUUUAAUGACCACAGUCAGGACAUCUGUUUAAUGUCCCAUCUGAAAGGCUGCACCUAAUGCAGGGCAAUGUCCCUGUCACUGCCCCUGGGCAUUGGGAACUCCUUAGACCAGAGGGAAGAGUGCCCCCUACUGGCCCUCCAACACCACUUCCAGCCUACUGUAUACAUAUUAGUUGUGUCCUAUAUAAUUGCUCCAUUCAACACAUAGCACUAAAGAGCGAUUGAAACACACUACAGUGUGAUUGAAAUGUACAUUUCCAAUUGAGUGGAUAUAUGCAGCCUUUACCGUGAACACAGUCUCCACAAACAUGGGAACAUGGCUGUUUUCCAUUUGAACAUGCAUGUAGGGUAGAUAGGGUUUGAUGGAGGAGUAGAGACACUUGUCUGACUGUGACUGCAUGACUGCUCUUCAGGCUGUGAUGAGAUUCAUAUGUACUUUAUCACUGAAUACUUUGUUGUGAACCUUUUCGUUUUAAUCAUAAGUAAUAUUAAUAAAGAGUUGUUGAUAUAAUACAGUGAUAUAUAGCAUGAAUGGAAAACACCUUUUAGUUUGAACUAAUCAUAAUGCCAGGCCAGAACUAACCAUUUUAUAAAACUAUAGAAAGAUAUCCUAUGUAAUGGUAACACUUGUGGUUAAGUACUGUAACAAUAUGUACCUACACUGUCAUUUUAUAACCAUCACAUGUAUGUUCUAACUAUCAUUAUAACCAUCACAUGUAUGUUCUAUCAUUAUUGUCACGCCCUGGUCUUAGUAUUUUGUGUUUUUCUUAUUUAUUUGGUCAGGCCAGGGUGUGACAUGGGUUUAUUUUGUGUUGUGUUUAUGUAUAGGGUUUUUUUCGUAGGUAUUGGGAUUGUGGCUGAGUAGGGGUGUCUAGCAUAGUCUAUGGCUGCCUGAGGCGGUUCUCAAUCAGAGUCAGGUGAUUCUCGUUGUCUCUGAUUGGGAACCAUAUUUAGGUAGCCUGGGUUUCACUGUGUGUUUUGUGGGUGAUUGUUCCUGUCUCAGUGUGUUGGUAUUCACCAGACAGGCUGUAUAGGUUUUCACAUUUCCGUUUGUUGUUUUUGUAUUGUUCGUUUUCAUCGUUAUUAAAGAUGUCUCGAUUUAACCACGCUGCAUUUUGGUCCGACUCUCCUUCGACGGAAGCCGUAACAAUUAUAACCAUCACAUGUAUGUUCUAACUAUCAUUAUAACCAUCACAUGUAGGUUCUAUCAUUAUAACCAUCACAUGUAUGUUCUAUCAUUAUAACCAUCACAUGUAUGUUCUAUCAUUAUAACCAUCACAUGUAUGUUCUAUCAUUAUAACCAUCACAUGUAUGUUCUAUCAUUAUAACCAUCACAUGCAUGUUCUAACUAUCAUUAUAACCAUCACAUGUAUGUUCUAUCAUUAUAACCAUCACAUGUAUGUUCUAACUAUCAUUAUAACCAUCACAUAUUAUGAUCAGUAAUCACAUAAUUAAGUUUUGACAUUUGAUUUGAUGAUUUCACUAUAUGUGUCUAUGUCAGUUUUUGCCUGCCUCAUAAUAAACAGAUGGUAAAUCCAAUGUAGUAGAAACACUUCAUUG
Oncorhynchus tshawytscha (Chinook salmon) is the source of this 6045-nucleotide long non-coding RNA. NCBI's taxonomy places the organism in Eukaryota, Metazoa, Chordata, Actinopteri, Salmoniformes, Salmonidae. The record is from Ensembl.